RNAcentral lists this unclassified non-coding RNA (407 nucleotides) under Hevea brasiliensis (rubber tree). The record is from RNAcentral. Lineage: Eukaryota; Viridiplantae; Streptophyta; Magnoliopsida; Malpighiales; Euphorbiaceae.
AACCUGCUUGGGUAAGAGCCAACCUAGUGAAGAAUGUAUUCUAAACAGCUUUGGAAAAGCAUUUCAUCUCGGAGUUUUUCCUUUAAGAUUUAGCAUGAGUUGAACUCAGAAACAAACUUUUCUGGUGCUAUCAAGCAUGAGUUGGUUAUUCAGGAAACACUCACCAGAGUUUGAAUUCCAUUCAUUACAUUUGAGGUUAAUUGCAUGUAUAUCUACUACCACCAUUUGCAGAGGCAAUUCAAUUGCAAAUGAGAUGAAAGUUGUAAUCAAACUUUUCAAAUAGAAUUAUUUCUUGGAAUUUAUUACAAGAUUCAAAUCAUACUUAAAGAGGCACAAAAUGGUUAUUGUUGCAUGGAAGGCCUCAAACUUAAUAAAAUGAAGCAAUUUAUUGAAUAAAAAGAAUGAAG